Schistocerca piceifrons (Central American locust) is the source of this 229-nucleotide long non-coding RNA. RefSeq lists it as uncharacterized. The record is from RefSeq and is a predicted model, not a curated record. The transcript has 3 exons. Lineage: Eukaryota; Metazoa; Arthropoda; Insecta; Orthoptera; Acrididae.
GGUCGUCAGUCGAACUGCCCACGCGAGUGCCGCGUCGUAUUUGUGUUGUUUACAUCGGCGUCGCCGGCGCUCAGGAAUUUCUGGAGGAGCAGCAGCGGCCGAACGGAACUCGUGGGUGGAGGCUCUGCUAUUGCGGAAGGGAAGCUGGAACGACGCUGGGGGAAGCCGAACCCACCGCCACUGGCGCAGUUCACGCAUCCGUAAGUACAGCAGCUGUUCUGCAUGUCCA